Molecule: ribosomal RNA, 273 nt
Filed under: uncultured bacterium
Lineage: Bacteria
Description: partial 16S ribosomal RNA
Rfam family: Bacterial small subunit ribosomal RNA
Source: RNAcentral
UACGGAGGGAGCUAGCGUUGUUCGGAAUUACUGGGCGUAAAGCGCGCGUAGGCGGCUUUGUAAGUUAGAGGUGAAAGCCCGGAGCUCAACUCCGGAACUGCCUUUAAGACUGCAUCGCUAGAAUCCGGGAGAGGUGAGUGGAAUUCCGAGUGUAGAGGUGAAAUUCGUAGAUAUUCGGAAGAACACCAGUGGCGAAGGCGGCUCACUGGACCGGUAUUGACGCUGAGGUGCGAAAGCGUGGGGAGCAAACAGGAUUAGAAACCCUCGUAGUCC